GUGCUGGUAUGAUCGCAUC
Molecule: small nuclear RNA, 19 nt
Filed under: Arabidopsis thaliana (thale cress)
Lineage: Eukaryota; Viridiplantae; Streptophyta; Magnoliopsida; Brassicales; Brassicaceae
Description: snRNA_17762
Source: RNAcentral